CGGGUGAAAGGUCGAGCGUCAGCCGGCCCGCCCCCUGGCGCGCGGGCGCGCCGGACCCGCAGAGAUCUUUCCGUUUCGGAAGCUCUUGGUGUGGCUGCGACCCCAGAGGAGAAGCUGGGCUCGUGGGGCUGCUGCCACCGUCACAGGAAAUAAGUAAACCAUGGUGCUCAACAGUUUGGAUAAGAUGAUUCAUCUCCAGAAAAACACUGCCAACAUCAGGAAUAUUUGUGUUUUGGCUCACGUUAACCAUGGAAAAACUACUCUGACUGACUGUCUUAUAUCUAGCAAUGGAAUCAUCACCAGCUGCCUAGCGGGCAAGGAGGGCAGGAGAUCAGACAGAAGUGACCCAGGCUCCCCUGUUUACCUCAACCUCCUUGUGAAGCCUCCCUCUUUGUGCCUGUGAGAUGGGGUUUUGCUCUGUCAUCUAGGCUGGAAUGCAGUGGCACGAUCAUAGCUUACUGCUGCCUCAAACUCCUGGGCUCAAGUGAUCCUCCCACCUCAGCCUCCCAAAGUGCUGGAAUUACAGGCCCGAGCUCUACGGAGCCUGGUUUUAAAUCUUAAUAAAUAUCUCCUCGUGGUCUGCUUCCCUGGCUGAUACACAGCCUGACAUCUUGCACCUAGACAGACAUGUGUCUGGACUUGGUUCCAUUUGUUCUGAUAGGCUCCUCUCUCUCAAUGACCACACGUUAUAGCCUGUGGUUAUUCUUACACAUUUCUGUAUAGACCUGAGGGUUAGUGUAUUAAUGUCAAAAUUCUACUAGUUUUUUGACGCUGGAUGGAAUGUCUGGGUUAAUUUAGGAGUGGGCAUCUUGACAAUAUAGGCUUUUCCUCCAGGAAUGGUGAUUCUGGGACACAGGUUUUGCACAUUCUGGUUUAUUGCUUGGCUCGCUGCCACAGAGGGAUGGUACUGCUCCACACGCCAUGCCCAAGAGAUGUCCCAGCUUAUCUUUCUAAAUCAAGCUGAAUGUUCUCAGCUGACAGGACAUCAUAUCAGUGCUGCGGGGACUCACUCACCCCAACCUGAGAUGAAGUGAGGUUGAGACUAUGGAACAGAUCCGUGCUGAGUGCAUUCACUGUUCCUGACCCACACUGCUGCUGGCCGGGGCUGUGUCUGAGCCGACAGAGGGCAUUGAUUUGGGGACGGGGUAGGAGGUGGUGCUGGAGAGAUGCCCCUCACCUCCCUCAGCUCCUUCUGUCCACCCAACACUUGGUCACCAAGGCCCCUGACUUCCAGGCCCCAGUCACCACUAACAGGGUGCUACAUGGGAACAGAAUGUAGGCACAGAACCUGGAGUUCAGGUCACCCCUCCUUCCAGUGAAAGCUUCUGUACCUCCCAGGUGAUUCCAGCGUUAUUCCUCCAUGGGCCAAAUAUCCUAAGCAAAGGCCUGGACAGGGGGUCUUUAUCCAAGUGCCCAAAAAAACACUGGCAGAAAGACUCUGCAUGCCCCCUGUGGCCUGCCAGAAGUAAGAGCCUCUCCUUCAAAAUGCACAAUCCUGGUUCUUGCAGGGAGGUGUGGAGGGGUGGAAGAAACGGUCUAUCUCAUUCUUUCAGCAGGAACCAAAUCUUGGGAAACCCAGACCCAGUAUAUUUCUUAAUGAUCCUGAUACUUUUAUAACUGGUUACAGCGGGUUCACAUGCACAACUGUUUUCCAACAUCUUACAACAGGCCACAUAACACCCUGUAAUGUAUUUUUUAAUUUUUUUUCUUUUUUUGAGGCCAGGGGCAGUGGCUCAUGCCUGUA
This is an RNA transcript of Piliocolobus tephrosceles (Ugandan red Colobus), 1744 nucleotides long. It is a transcript of the gene named elongation factor-like GTPase 1, with no coding region annotated. The record is from RefSeq and is a predicted model, not a curated record. NCBI's taxonomy places the organism in Eukaryota, Metazoa, Chordata, Mammalia, Primates, Cercopithecidae. The transcript has 5 exons.